UUUAAUAACUUUUCUUAUUGUAAUUGAAAGCAAAUAAUAAUAAUCCAUUUCAAAAUGAAUAAUGCACUUCAUUCAAUUUACAUCAAACAAAAACAAUUACUAAUUCACAAGUUCAAAAUGUCGACAAUAUGAUAAAGAAGCUAAACUAUUUGAAUCUAAUUCCUAGUGUAAGCUUUUGAUAACUUUGUUAUCAAAUGGCUAUAAGCCCUACGAAAUUCGCGUGCCCUUGAUCAUAAUGAAGGUUGCCAUAUAUCAAAUUCCUGAAUAUCAAAAUGUAUGACCUGAAAUGAUAUAAUAAAACUAGUAUCAAACAUACAACCAUAUGUGAAAUUCUUCAACUGUCAAGAAAAUAAUUAUGUGAUAUUUACGUGUCCAUAAUAGCAAAUACCAAAUUCCUGAAUAUCAAGAUGUAUGACCUGAAAUGAUAUAAUAAAACUAAUAUCAAACAUACAACCAUAUGUGAAAUUCUUCAACUCUCAAGAAAAUAAUUAUGUGGUAUUUACAUGUCCAUAAUAGCAUAUCCUUUCCCUCUUCCUUUGUUCUUUCAAUCUUUAUUAUCAACUGCCAAACUCUAAAAAGAAAUAUAUGUUUUGGCAUGCUUACAUAUUCUCAAAAGUUAAGAAGAGAAAGGCUUCUAAAUAGUUGGUAAAAUUAUCAUAAUAGACAACUUUUAAAUAGACAGUAAGAAACAAAAAGGAAAGUUAAAAUUGGAACACCAAUGCUCACCUAUUGACAAAAACUUUUCUAACGUAUUCCUCUUUGUUGCCCUCCCAGUGAUUAAGCAACUAAAUUUCAGUAUGGAUAAUCGGAAAAAAGCUGCUCAAUUUAUUCUAGGCAGGAUUAUUAUCAGUAUAAAGUGGUAGAUAAAUUCAAAUAAUUAACUGCAUCUACAUUCGAGAAGAUAAAGAAAACUAAAGGGAGCCUAUACACAGAUUUAUUGCUUCAGCCAUGUAAUAAAAUUUAUAAAUUAAAGAAGCCAAGAAUGUCUACGCAAAGCAGAGGGAAGUAGAAGUCAAGAUUUAAUAGAUCAAAGUUUGCAACUCAUAAGAACUUUGUACGAAUGUAAUUUAACUGUCGAUUGUUGUCUAUAUAUUUCACAUAUACCUACUUAGAUAAUAUGCUAAGUUAACAGAUACAACUUCCCAAAUGCUAUAAAUGAUGAGUAUCCUUUCUCUUUUGACAUUUCUUAAUUAGCUUGAAUUGUGUAUAUAUCUUCCUUCACAAUUGUACAAAAUAUUAAAAUGUAUUCUAUUCUAGUCUUAAAAUUUUUAUAACUGGGCUAAGAAAUGCUUCAUCAAAAAAUGGCCCUCCAUUCCAUUGUUAUGGGUCCCAAUAAUGGUCCAGUAGGUAUCAUAAUGGGAAUAAGAAAUACUAUGAGCAUUUUGUAUUAUUGGAACUUUAUUACCAUAUAGGUUUGUUAAAUCAAACAAGCCAACUUAAACUCCUUAACGUGAACUGAUCAUAAUCUACAAGACAAUGUAUUUUUCAAGGCCUUAUCAAUGAAACAUUCCAAAGCGUCAUAUCAUCAAGAUUUCUUUGAACCCUACUUCAUAUACGAAAUAGUAACUAAAAGAUAUUAAAUUAGUUCAUUGAACUUUGUGACUUCAAGAGCACUUACAGGCUAAAAGAGGGACAACCAUGACAAUCUUCUGCAAAUCCCCGUCAGCUUGCAUAAUCUUUUUAAUUUGAACCUGCAAAUAAGUAGGAAAUGAGAUAUAAGUAUGGUUGUAUUCAAAUCAAAGAAAAAUUUAAAUUUUAGAAACAAGAUCUUAUAUGACCUGAAAGCAAUUUGGUCCAGUUAAGCACAUUAAAUUGAAAAGGGAGAAUAGUUAACAUUCAAAUAGCAGCAACGUAAUAGUCGUCAAAAUCUUUCUCAAGAAAACAAAUUCUAGCACAAUAAAGUUUGAACCUUGAGAAACUAGACAAACAGGAAAUUCACGUAAAAACCUCAAACACUUUACCUUUUUAUUGAACGUUCAUUUUCCACAUAAACGUGGCUUGAACAAGUCAUAUACCUCAAAUACUGUACCCUCUCCUAUAGACUCGUGAUAUAUUUGAUCUUUACCUAAUACACUCUAGAGUUUUCUUUGAGAUACUAAACAAUAAAGUGCUCAGUGAUUACAAAAUUCAAAUGAUAGUAAAAAUGUUGAAUUACUUAUUAAAAAUAGAUAGCUUAUUGCGAAGUGUCUUUUUUUGGUCUCAAGAGUCUCCUGUAAACUCAUGAUAUAUCAAUAUUUUCAAAGUACACUAGAGACUCUAUAGUGUUUUUAUUUUGAAGCACUACAAGAAAGUGCUUAGUGGUAGUAAAAUUCGAGCGGCAGUAAAUAGCCAACACGACCUACCUUAAGUAUCUCAAUAAACUAUUCUACAUUUUUCUUCAAGUAUUUUAGUAGUCUUCCUUACACGAUGAUAUCAAAGAAUUGCUUGAACUUAAUAAGGGAUUAACUUGAUGAGUAUCAUGGCAUCAAACUAAAAAAUAAUUGUUGAAUCUUCAGUUGCUCUAAUUCCAUUUCAUUGUAGAAAAUAUCAAAUUGUAACAUCUUUUUGUCAGUUCUUCCAUAUGUGAAAUGGAGUAUGGAUACAUAUUAUUCCACAAAAAAAAGAUUAAAAUAAAUGAAAAGAAAUAUAGUUACUUAGAUACUGAGCAUACAAAUUUUGAGAGUGAAUAUGAGUAAAUUGAUCUGGUGAGGUAAAAGGUCGAACACCUAGAAGGCAGUUAAUAACCAAAGGGUACUACUUAAAAUACUUUGAAGUGGUCUAUGUUUACUGAUUUCAUCUAGCUACUUGAGCACACAACAACAUAAAAGAAACAACAAUUUAACAUGCUAGUGGAAAGCGGACUUCACUUGUCACAGACAUCCAUCCACAAAUUUGACGCUCCUAGAAAGCAAAUCAAAGGGAAAAAAAAUCAAUAAAUACAUUAUCUUAGAAGAAAUUUGCAAUUUGAGAUUCAAAACUUAUAGGAAACGCAAAAAUAGAAAUACCUAACCAAAAUUUUGAAAGACUCAUAGUCGCACCCGGAUCUACCAUCAACAACAUUUACCCAAAUCGCUCUUCCAUCCAAACUCUGUAAGAUUUUAU
Molecule: long non-coding RNA, 3081 nt
Filed under: Nicotiana tabacum (common tobacco)
Lineage: Eukaryota; Viridiplantae; Streptophyta; Magnoliopsida; Solanales; Solanaceae
Description: long non-coding RNA (NTAB_LNC000235)
Source: RNAcentral